GUGGGGAAUAUUGGACAAUGGGGGGAACCCUGAUCCAGCCAUGCAGCGUGUGUGAAGAAGGCCUUUUGGUGUAAAGCACUUUAAGCGAGGAGGAGGCUACCGAGAUUAAUACUCUUGGAUAGUGGACGUUACUCGCAGAAUAAGCACCGGCUAACUCUGUGCCAGCAGCCGCGGUAAUACAGAGGGUGCAAGCGUUAAUCGGAUUUACUGGGCGUAAAGAGCGCGUAGGUGGCCAAUUAAGUCAAAUGUGAAAUCCCCGAGCUUAACUUGGGAAUUGCAUUCGAUACUGGUUGGCUAGAGUAUGGGAGAGGAUGGUAGAAUUCCAGGUGUAGCGGUGAAAUGCGUAGAGAUCUGGAGGAAUACCGAUGGCGAAGGCAGCCAUCUGGCCUAAUACUGACACUGAGGUGCGAAAGCAUGGGGAGCAAACAGGAUUAGAAACCCUGGUAGUCC
Molecule: ribosomal RNA, 450 nt
Filed under: uncultured bacterium
Lineage: Bacteria
Description: partial 16S ribosomal RNA
Rfam family: Bacterial small subunit ribosomal RNA
Source: RNAcentral